UGAACAUUGGGAGCUCACUCAAUGUAUCUGAACCAUGGCAGCACCGCACGACGUACACAACACCGACAAUAACUUGUGCUAUAAUCUGCAAGGUGCAAAAGUAUAGCAUGAGCACCUGUAACGCCCCAAAAAUGGGUCCCGAGAUAUCACACGGUGCUUAGGGUCACAAUUUACACCAAGCUAAUCCUCCUACUAGCAUAACUCAUUAGAAACUGAAUAAAAUGCAUAAAUCUGAAAGAAAAAUAUGGAAUAUAAAUCUUCUAUGAAUUUGCUCAAUACAACAUGAAUAUAUAAAUUACAAAUCUGCUUUUUCCAACAAACUAAAAUUGAAUACAUCUACUUCUACUAACUGUUUAUAAAGCCUCUGCUAGUACUAAGUAUAGGUAGUUGGGUUAUGACUCCCAACUAUCCCAACUCAAUACGACAUAUUCUCGAACUGUAUAAAUAACUGAAGCCCUUGAAUCAAAGGACUCAUCACUUGUUGACUGGAUACCACAAACUAACUGGAUCUGAAGGUGCAUACUGUACCUUGUACCUACAUUCCGAGAAAAUGUAGCCCACAUAUGAAUAUGUGGGUCAAUACCAUGGAAAUGUACUGAGCAUAUGGGGGUGCAAUGUAUAUAUAACAGAAUAUCUUAAUAUCAUCACAAUUUAUAAAAUUAUGUAUACUAAUAUAAAUGACUCACUUAGUUCAAAUUAAAUAAUCAAAAUCAUGGAUGAAUAAUACAUGUAAAGUAAAAAAAGUGAGUCCCUACAAUAUGUUCUCAAUUCACUUUUCUCUUGGUUUCAAACUCAUAAAGUAAUCAUGUCUUAAAACAGCUUUAUUUAUAGCAUACAUUUCAAUCUUUUAGAAACAAGUAACUUUCUCAAAAAUCAUUGUUUUCAAACCAUACACACUUAUUUUAGAUAUAGCAGAGACACACACACCCCAUGGGAGUUUCUUAUAACCGACGUAAAGUAUGUGAGCUUAUUAUGGAUUCCAACGUUUUGUCCUCCUAAGAAAGAAACCCCACGUUGGGAAGGAGCGUCAUACUCUUUCCAGGGAGUAUAACCUCAACUCAGUGAUCACAAACUCAGCCUUAGGCCCAUAAAUCUCAAAUCCUACGGUGGCAUGUAGUUCUGAGGAAGUAGCGUACACUCACCCACGCCUCCUGCUCGGUGCUAAAUACUACUCCCGUACUCAAGCUCAGUCUCAUUUAGGAAAUCCACCUCAAAAUAAUCUUAAUGGCCUAUAGUGAAGGCCAAAUCAUAUUUAUCAUAAUUAAAUCAUAAUAAAUUGUGAAUUCCUAUUUUCAACUCCAAAAUCAUGAUAUAAAUUUCAAUUCAAAUAUUGGUACAUAAUUUGAUAAAGGAAAAUUCCAAAUCAUAAUAUCAUAAAAAUCCAAUUUCAACUUUGACAUAAAUAUAACGAUUCCAUCUUCCAAAAUACCAUCUCAAGUUCCAUACUUAUUCAAUAUCAAAAAAACAAUCUUUGCUUUUGGGAAAUACUUAUAAAAUCAUGUCCACGACUCAAGAUCAAAAUCUCCGUAUAAUUUUAUUACAUAUAUUUAAUACCCAAAAUAUAAAGAUUUAAUACAUCAAAAUCAUAUCUAAAUUUCAUACUCAACGAUCAUCUCGAAAAUCUUCACUUAAAAUCAAUUAAAAUAUUGGGAAUAAAUUCAUGACAUAAAUAUUAUAAUUUCAACAACUCAAAAUUCAUAUCACAAAUUUCGUAAAUUCAUUCUCAAUACUCAUUUCAAAUAAAUUCAGCAACAUCAAUUCUUAAUAGGAAAAUAUAAAUCAAAAUAUGUAUAUCUCAACUCAAAUCAUAUCAAGAUAAAAUAUAAUGCCUUCAAAUGCCCAAUUCAUGGAUAAUUACAUAAACUAAAAAUAAGAUAAAUUGGUAUAAACUUCAACAUAAAAAUUUACGUAAUCUUUAUAAAAAUCAAGUUUUGGACACAAGAACAGAAGGAUUACUCUUGUUCAACACCCACAUACCUCAAAUUUAGGACUUUGGAUGAACUUACGAUUCCGGAACUCUAUUUGUAAGAUUGGUAGGUGCUCCUUGUAGCUCUUGCAAUGAGGAUUCCAAAUCUUGAAUAAAUUUCAAAUUUUUAUGGUUGAAUUUUGAUGGAUCUUGAUUUGUAUAUUGGGACUAGGGAGCGUUAUUCUUGGGAAUUUUUCUAAAUAUGACCAUAAUAUGGUCAAUUGGAACAUAAAUCCCGUAUUAAUGGACUAAUAAAUCGUGGAAAAUUAC
RNAcentral lists this long non-coding RNA (2236 nucleotides) under Capsicum annuum. RNAcentral's name for it is "long non-coding RNA (CANN_LNC021396)". Lineage: Eukaryota; Viridiplantae; Streptophyta; Magnoliopsida; Solanales; Solanaceae. The record is from RNAcentral.